GAUGAACGCUGGCGGCGUGCCUAAUACAUGCAAGUCGAGCGAACAGACGAGGAGCUUGCUCCUCUGACGUUAGCGGCGGACGGGCGAGUAACACGUGGAUAACCUACCUAUAUGUCUUGGAUAAUUUCGGGAAACCGGAGCCAAUACCGGAUCAUAUAUUUAACCGCAUGGUUCAAUAGUGAAAGACGGUUUUGCCGUCACUUAUAGAUGGAUCCGCGCCGCAUUAGCUAGUUGGUAAGGUAACGGCUAACCAAGGCAACGAUGCGUAGCCGAUCUGAGAGGAUGAUCGGCCACACUGGAACUGAGACACGGUCCAGACUCCUACGGGAGGCAGCAGUAGGGAAUCUUGCGCAAUGGGCGAAAGCCUGACGGAGCAACGCCGCGUGAGUGAUGAAGGCCUUCGGAUCGUAAAACUCUGUUAUUAGGGAAGAACAGAUGUGUAAGUAACUCUGCACGUCUUGACGGUACCUAAUCAGAAAGCCACGGCUAACUACGUG
This 497-nucleotide ribosomal RNA is filed under the name uncultured bacterium. RNAcentral's name for it is "partial 16S ribosomal RNA". It matches the Rfam family "Bacterial small subunit ribosomal RNA", at positions 28 to 507 of the family's 1533-position model. The record is from RNAcentral.